AACGAACGCUGGCGGCGUGCCUAACACAUGCAAGUCGAACGAGUAAGGGGCUUCGGCUCCGAGUAAAGUGGCGCACGGGUGAGUAACACGUGGGUAACCUGCCUCUAAGAUUGGGAUAACUCGUCGAAAGAUGAGCUAAUACCGAAUAAGACCACAGUUCCCGCGGGAACAGGGGUCAAAGGUAGCCUCUGCUUGCAAGCUAUCACUUAGAGAUGGGCCUGCGCACCAUUAGCUAGUUGGUAGGGUAACGGCCUACCAAGGCAAAGAUGGUUAGCUGGUCUGAGAGGAUGAUCAGCCACACUGGAACUGAGACACGGUCCAGACUCCUACGGGAGGCAGCAGUGGGGAAUAUUGCGCAAUGGGCGAAAGCUUGACGCAGCAACGCCGCGUGAGUGAUGAAGGCCUUCGGGUCGUAAAGCUCUGUCGGGAGGAACGAAUGCUCCUGAGGUUAACAGCCUCGGGAGGUGACGGUACCUUCAAAGGAAGCACCGGCUAACUCUGUG
RNAcentral lists this ribosomal RNA (503 nucleotides) under uncultured bacterium. RNAcentral's name for it is "partial 16S ribosomal RNA". It matches the Rfam family "Bacterial small subunit ribosomal RNA", at positions 29 to 507 of the family's 1533-position model. The record is from RNAcentral.